Molecule: ribosomal RNA, 468 nt
Filed under: uncultured bacterium
Lineage: Bacteria
Description: partial 16S ribosomal RNA
Rfam family: Bacterial small subunit ribosomal RNA
Source: RNAcentral
GACGAACGCUGGCGGCGUGCUUAACACAUGCAAGUCGAACGGAAAGGCCCUGCUUUUGUGGGGUACUCGAGUGGCGAACGGGUGAGUAACACGUGAGUAACCUGCCCUUGACUUUGGGAUAACUUCAGGAAACUGGGGCUAAUACCGGAUAGGAGCUCCUGCUGCAUGGUGGGGGUUGGAAAGUUUCGGCGAUUGGGGAUGGACUCGCGGCUUAUCAGCUUGUCGGUGGGGUAGUGGCUUACCAAGGCUUUGACGGGUAGCCGGCCUGAGAGGGUGACCGGCCACACUGGGACUGAGAUACGGCCCAGACUCCUACGGGAGGCAGCAGUGGGGAAUAUUGCACAAUGGGCGGAAGCCUGAUGCAGCAACGCCGCGUGCGGGAUGACGGCCUUCGGGUUGUAAACCGCUUUCGCCUGUGACGAAGCGUGAGUGACGGUAAUGGGUAAAGAAGCACCGGCUAACUACGUG